GGGGGAUUAACCCCUGAUAUGUAAAUGGACCAAAUUUAUAAUUGUCUGAAAAACUCAUUACUGUUGUUCAUCUUGGGUGUAGCCUCUCUUGGAGGCUUUUGACUGCCCCAGGUGUACCUAUUUACAGCCAAAGUGUGCCUUUAAUAAAUACCUACUUUUCAUCCUUUUAAUCUUGUCUAGCCUCUGUUCCAGGUAACCACUCCAAGGCAAGAGUUAGAUGGUGCAGAUACUUUUCUCCUUCUACAGUAUGUUCUACCUGAAGCAGUGCACACAGGGACUAUCAUGACAGACUGUCUGCACAGCAAGGACCAUGCACAGGGUUUGAGUCAAGGUUUCCAUCAUUUUCCUUCAUGGAAAAAAAAUUCCAAAAUAUGUCAUUGGCGGUGGAAGUUAUAUUAUUCAAGAAAAGUUAACAUACUGUGCAGGAAGCAGAGGCAUUUUGGAAAUAACACACCUAUGAGUUGUACACGGAGCUGUCUGCAUCUUGCAAGGCCAAUGUCUUCAUGGCCUGAGGUGAGGUGGACCUGAGGAAAAUUAUGUCUGGGACCACGGGGAACUGAGCCAAGCGUAGUCCAGGGAGAUGCCAAGAGCAGCUUCAUCUUCGAGUUCAGCUGAAGACAGUACCCGAGGGCUGUAGGCACCAUAUGAUGACACUGAUAUGGGACAGGAAUCACAGCUGACCAGGACAGCUUCCCUGUUCUGCUCUCCAUCAGCAGCAGCACCAAGACAAGCCAAAAUUCCAGCAUGUGACGCAUCAUCACAUUCCCAGCGUCAAACUUGCCUUAACACCAACUGGAAUACAAAAUGGGGCCAAAGCAAAGCCCUUGGACCUCUUGUUCCUCAUGUUUGUUUUUUUUUUUAACAACAAGCUAUAAGCAGAGCAGGAGGAAAUGGAGCAUAAAUAUUAUACUUUGUUUAGUCUUAGGAAAUAUAAUUUAUAAUUAGAGUUGGGCAUCCUGUUGACAUGACAGAAUCUAUUUCAAGAGUGAGGUGAGCACAUGGUCAAACUCUAAUCUUUUGUAAAUGAUUAAAAACUGCCAGUUCUUUUAUUCUUGUCUUCUUUCUUUGGUCUUAUCUUUAUCUUUUUUUUUUCUUUUUAAUGUAAUUUCUAGAAAGCAAGUGGGUUAACAUCAGUUCAAGAUAAUGAUACUUAUAGGGGCAGUGAUGUCUUGAAGUAUCUCAGCAGCUGGAAAUUUUGUUUUCUCUUCAUGCACUUCUGCUUGCCUUCAUGCCAUCCCCACCAACCAAGCCCAUUCACUUCUACUGUGGAAGAGUGGGAAUCCAUGAGACUUGGAGGGUGAGGAGAAGGUAAAGAUUGACUUUGUGUGACCAGCACUGGCCUGUGUGC
RNAcentral lists this long non-coding RNA (1348 nucleotides) under Parus major (Great Tit). Its description in RNAcentral is "lncRNA (ENSPMJG00000012094.1)". The record is from RNAcentral. Lineage: Eukaryota; Metazoa; Chordata; Aves; Passeriformes; Paridae.